Molecule: long non-coding RNA, 714 nt
Organism: Canis lupus familiaris (dog)
Lineage: Eukaryota; Metazoa; Chordata; Mammalia; Carnivora; Canidae
Exons: 4
Source: RefSeq, a predicted model, not a curated record
UGGACAAGUAACAGAAGGAGCAUUUGUUUGGCCACAAGCAGCCGGUGGAAAAUUCCAGUGCUGACCCCAGAGUGAACCCUUGAGGGACAAGUUUCCAGAUGAAAAGAGUGACAGGAUGAGUCAUCCAUGAUUUUCGACUAGGACAGUGACCAGAGCAUGUUUUUUCUUCCGAAGAACUUUUUAGAAGGACUGGAGAGGGGAUCCAGAAAGCAGAAAGAGUAGCUGGGAAGUUGCUGGAAUUGUCCAGGAGCAAAGAUUGCAGUCCAGCUGCAACCAGACACUCAUGCCUUCCCCCCUGGGCUGGCUGCUUUUGACCUGCCCAGUCAUGCCUCUGGGCACUUCGGAAGGAGGGAAGGAGGGAGUAGUCCCAGGUACCCUCUAACGGAGAUGAGAUGAGCACGAAGGCAAGUCACAGACUCCACAUGCAGGACCCGCUUCCCAGAGCACCUGAGUCCCCAGUGCUUUCAUCGCUAUGGUCCAAACCCCACCUCACUCCUCCCAAGGCUUUGCUCUCCCAUCUUCUCAAGGCCUCCUGUCCUUUUGUGCUGAGCAUGAAGGCUCCAAGGUCAAAACAGGAUAAGUCAUGGGGACUGGCAGACUCGACUUUGCCUUCUUGAGCUUUGAAGCCCACUAACCCUAUAGCUAUCAUGGGUGGAGGGAGCCACGCUUCGCUUUUUUUUUUUUCUUUUUUUUUCUUUUUUUUUUUUUUUAAUA